This is a long non-coding RNA of Suricata suricatta (meerkat), 1731 nucleotides long. RefSeq lists it as uncharacterized. NCBI's taxonomy places the organism in Eukaryota, Metazoa, Chordata, Mammalia, Carnivora, Herpestidae. The record is from RefSeq and is a predicted model, not a curated record. The transcript is spliced from 2 exons.
GAAGCUCCAUUCAAAGUUUUCCAUCAACUUCACUUAAUAUGCCCCAGACACCUGAGGCUCAAGAGGUUUAAAGCCAAACUCCAGAUUUUAACCACCCAAUAUCUUAUCUUCCUGUAUUGCUUAUUCUAGCAAAUGCCUCUGUUAGGAAUUUCCGAGCCUUAGUUGUUCAAUCGACAAAACAGAAGAAACAAUGCCAGCUCUGUCUCCCUCAGAGUUGACAGAAUCAAAUAGAAUGUUCAGAAACAGACACAUUUUGAAAAGAUAAAAUGUGAGGCAGAUCGUCAAAGCUGCAGACCUUGGCCUGCCUCUCUCUCACGACCCAUGUCAGUCACUAAGCAGUCACUAAGUCAGGCUCUCUAAGCAAGGGUUCCAUCCCGCACAAAAUGAGGAUGCAGUGACACUAAGUGAACUGUAAUGGCUGGCACCUGUAAGUGACAAACCCCUGCAACCCCACAUGAAGAGCCUCAAGAAUGUCCCUCAGAUGCAACACACAGCCAUUUUCAUAGAACCCCGGAAACACCAAAACUGCACUGUUAGUAUGGAACAAGGGGUUGACAGUGAUCACAGGAAUUUUAAGCUAGAUGGGAAAGGGGAGAAGCUGCCUAGUAGGCUUGCCAAAGAGCUAUUUGGAGCAAGCAGUGAUGUGGUUGUAGCACAAAGACCUUAGAAAUAAUCAGCUAUAUCCCUCAUUUCCCAGAGGAACCAUUCAACUGAGAGACGGUAUAGUUGUCAACCUUCAUGGUGGUCUUUUGAAAUUCCUGCCCUUGUGUUGUCCCUCUCCCAGACUGACUAGGGUUUGUGACUGCUGAGCCUAGAUCAUAAAGCACAUUGUGACUUCUACCUUGGAUCAGGCACUUUGCAGAAAGCCAGCUGCCAUGUUCUUAAGGACACUCAAGUGGUCCUAUGGAGAGGUCCGCACAGUAAAGAAUGGCAGCUUCCUGCCAACAGCCACCAAGGAACUGCGGUCUCCCACCAAUAGCCAUGUGGAUGAACCAUCUCAGGAGUGGACACCCUGGCCCCCAUAAAGCCUUCAGAUGAUGCAGCCCCAGCCAGUGUGUUGAGAGACGAUGAGUCAGAACCUCUCAGCUAUACCACUCCUACAUUCCUGCCCUGCAAAAACAUCCAGCUGCUGGAAUCACAUUGUAUGGAUAUCUGCAUUGUGAGCCAUUUUCCAGGGCCUGCUCUGUUUUGCAAGAAUUCCCUGUUGAAUGUUCUAGGAGGCAGCAUCACAGGUGGAUGAGGAAGUUACCUCAACUUUAGCAUGACCUGCUAAGCUAGACGGAGUACCCCCAGCCACCAUUCAACAAGCCUCCACUGAGUGCCUGCCAUAUGACAAGUGUCAAAAAAGCCACAUCUACAGGAUGCAUUUCCUAGAGGCACAGUUCAAUAGAGAGCCAGGGGGUGAAAAAAAAAAGAGAAAAGAAAAAUAAGAAAGCUAUAACAUUUGAGCUUGAAAUGUCAGAGGGAGCCAAGGAAGUUGUCUGAUGGAUUGCCCUGUCAUCUCCAAGCCAAAAGAAAAAAAAUUUCAGAUCCAUCAAUUUGCUCCUGCCCUUUUAAUCCAAACAAUAUUUUACAGCAUCAGAAUGCAAAGAAAUUAUUUUCUUGGACAUUCAACAAUGUGCAUGGAUUGCUGAGCACUUCACCAGAAAGCAGCAAGUGAGGACUACAGGGUGUUCUAAUGUCUGCACAUCGUAUUGAUCCAUAUUACAUGUAAAAAUAUGUUAUAACAUA